ACAGGGCUUUUGUAUAACUACAAGGAAACUGAUAAUCCUAAAUAAAUUACACAGGAAAAAUAUGAAUCUUUGAAUACUAGUAAUUAUAAUGGUUAUUUUUCACUUUUGUAGCACCUGCAAAUGAUGUAUAUAUAACAAAGCUUCAAAAAGCUCUAAUUAACUUUUUAUUUUUUUCCAUUUACUGGCUUUAACCAGUUUGCAUUAAUUGGCAAUUUAUAUCUAUAUAUUUUUACCAAAUAUUUCUAUUACUUUUGAGUAGCUGGAAAUCACACAUUAUUGAAUUUAUUUCCACUGAGUUUGUUUUCAGUUUUUGUCAGUCACUUGCACUAAACUUCUCGCUCUCUGCCUCACUCAAUCCAGGGGGUGUGGAAUGAAGUACAAAUUUCCCUGUUACUCUUCUGGUGGAAGUGUCCUGCCCUGGCCUUUGUGGUGUAGUUACAUGAUUUCUUCCUAAUUGUGCCAGUCAGAAUUCCUACCUACUCCUACCAAAUGUGCAAGGGCUCUAUUUGGAAGACCUUCAGGCUCAGCUUUUUGACAGAUCUCUCUGGGCUAUUUGCUGUAUGAGAUUAGUCUCACCAUCAGGAAGCUUUAGAGCUUAGGGGAAGUCAGACCCAGAUGAAGCAGAGCUCUGAGGGUGUCUUAAAAUGGACACCCAAUAAAAACCUUUGAAACGGCAAUCCUGAUUAUCUGAAAUUACCGCUUGCUGCCACUUUGGGUGGCAAUACCAGGGAAUGAAGGAGUCUGAAAUUGACCGGGGCCUGGGAAGCACUAUGGUAUUUGCCUCAGAAGGUCUAGAGGGCAAACAGAAGCAACCUAUGCUUUAGUUUUCUUUCUUUUAUCUUUUUUCCCUCCUGAUUUUGUUUGAUUCUCACACUGUCUACACAGUAGUUGAUGUACGUGAAAGGUCUGGCAGGAUGUGGAAUCUCUCUCUUACUAGGGAAGAAGAAUGGUUAGCUUCCAGAGACUGGACUAGGGGCUUGGGAAGAGCAGAGCAUGUUUACCUCCAAAAAUCUCAGUAGGAGGAAUCAGACCAGAGUUGUAUGUGUUCUUCUCCCCUCCCUCCCUCUCUGCCUCCCUCCUUUCCUUCCUUCCUUCUUUCCUCCCUUCCUAUCUGCUUUUUAAAAGAAUUUAAAAAACAUUUAAGAAUUUUUCAAAAGAACAUGUAGCUGCUCCGCAGGUAGGAAGUGGAAGCUGGUGAAGGUUCUGGCUGGCGAUGAGAGCCUGUCAGACUCUGUCAUGGCCCAUUUCUCUGACUGACCAUGGGCCUAGGCCUGAGUGAACGCCGCCUGAGAGUAAGACGCAGGCCUCUCAGGAUGCAGAGGCAAGAUGGCUGCCACAGCCAUCUGCAGAACAUCAAAGGCUGCUGCCUGAUGGUGCUCAGUCUGCCAAAGCGUCUAAAGGGUUUGGCGCCUGACUAGAAAUCGGAUGCAAACUGUCCAUCUGCCGCAUGGCACUGGUGACAGCUGAUUCUUUUGCAGUCUGCAAGAUGAACCCAACCCAAGCCAAUCGCUCCUGUCCCUGAUUGUACAAGGUUGAUCCGACCCAUUUCAUUAGCCAGACACAUGAGAUACAGUAUGUGGUUUUUCAUUUUACCAUGUACGUGACACUAUAAAUUCUAGUGCUGGGGAUGAGCUGAGAAACCAAAGGGGACACACUGCUGCUUCUGUGGAGAAAGCAUAUUGGCAAUGUUCAAAGCAUAUUGGGGCAUAACAGUAGCCUAAAAACCCCAAUAUGGACUAGGACAGCUGACCAGCUGUCCUGACUGACAUUUUUAACAUGUUUCAAGGGUGUCCCUACAGGACAUAAAAACUAACUAUUCAUCUGUGUACCUCUUUUUUGUCCCACCCUGCCCUGGCUUCAACUAAAUGUGUGCUUCAUGGAAAGUCAGAGCAUAACUAUCAGCUCCGGUGACAAAGGAAAGCUGUGCAUGCUCGGCCUGUGGCCUACCUGCCCGGAAAUGCUCGGGCUCCGCUGGGAAUGAACGACUGCUGGCAGCCACUGGAAUGGAUGAAAACGGACCCCAGAAGUGAACAUGUGCAGCUCUCCUGCAAGCAGUCCCUCUGUAGGAAAACUAAAAGCAAUGAUAGACAGCACUUGGGAGACUGAGACAAGAGGAUCAUUGCAAGUGUGAGACCAGCCUGGGGUACAGAGAGAGCUGGAGACCAGCCUGAACUGCAGAGCAAGAUCCCAUCUAAAAACAGACAAAGGAACCGAAUUUCAAAGUGGUAUACUGAAACAAAGGAUAUUGGUGAGACUCAAUAUAUUAACCCCACCAACAAUUUGGGUUGCUCCAGUGACUGAAGUACAGCAGAAAGAAGGAAGAGGGGUUGUCUUCCUUUUGCAUUUCUGGUCCUUAUCUUUUUAAUAUGUGGGACAUUACUGAGAUGCUUGUCAUAAGAAGGAGAGGAGAAAUCAUAUAUAUCAGACUGCCUAUUCUCUAAGAAGACUUUUUUUUUUUUUUUUUUUUUUGCCACUUGUGGUGGUACACAUUUGUAAUCCCAGCACUUGGGAAACUCAGGCAGGAGGAUCCUUGCAAGUCUGACACCAGCCCGGCCUACAAAGUCAGCUCAUGACCAGCCUGAACUGCAUACAGAGACUCUGUCUCAAAAGACAAAAACAAAAAAUCUUUUUGGGGGAUCAAGACUCUUCAGAUCAAAUUAAGGAUACAAAUACACUAAGUGAGUUGAGCUGGACUGAAAAUGGAUCCUUACCUUGGUACAGUUACAUGGAAUAAUCUAUGCUUCCAAUUACACCCUUUUUCCUUACAAGAGGAAGAUCAAGCAUGGAAACACUCUUAAAUAGGUUUGAAACAAGUGUGGCCAUUAGUAUUAAGGGGAAUAAAAGGCAUACUAUUAAUGCAUACGCUGUCUUUGAAGACAGCUGCUUUUCUGCACAGGAGUGGAAGGGAAGACUGGACCUGGAGGACAACUGAGGGGGAAAUUCUAUUGUAAACUGACACUUUUGCUCAGGUCACUGGCACUGGAGACAUGAGUUUGAUGGUGGUGAGAGUGGCGAUGUAACAGUUCUCAGAGGGACGGUGCCAUCAGAGCUUCCCCACAGCACCUCAACCCUUGGCUUCCUUUCCUCCACCUGUCUAACAGAUCUUUCCAGGAGGAAGGCUUCAGCCCUCUCGGUCUACCUCACCCCAGCACUUUCACCCUCUGGACCAGAAAUGAGAAACAUAGUCUAUAGUUUUUACUACUGAACUUUUAGUUUUUCAGAUCUAGUUUUGAACAUGUCAUCAGAAAAAAAAAGUCAAAGGUCUUUCUCCCCCCCCACUUUUAUAUUUUCUUAAGAAUCUUGUUAUCCGAGCUCCCUGGGGAGGUGCAGUGACACCUUGGGAAACAGUCCAGUCUCUGUCAGGUGGUGGGAGGUUUCCAAUUGUCGCUUUAAAAAAUAAUGAUCUGUAGCCAAUUAAAAAGCUGAGAGAGCCUUCUA
Cavia porcellus (domestic guinea pig) is the source of this 3438-nucleotide long non-coding RNA. RefSeq lists it as uncharacterized. Lineage: Eukaryota; Metazoa; Chordata; Mammalia; Rodentia; Caviidae. The transcript has 3 exons. The record is from RefSeq and is a predicted model, not a curated record.